This 583-nucleotide small RNA is filed under the name Pan troglodytes (chimpanzee). RNAcentral describes it as "processed transcript". Lineage: Eukaryota; Metazoa; Chordata; Mammalia; Primates; Hominidae. The record is from RNAcentral.
CACCAUAUACUUCUGAGAGAAUGCCUGGGAAAGGCAAAUAGCAUCUUAGUAAUAUUAUGGCAAUAGUUUGACCUCGCUGACCCCCUGGAAGUUUUCAGAGAUCCCAUCCACACUUUACAGACUUGUAGGAAGAAUACCACUUGGGUCAAAUAUUACGCUGGGGAGGAGGAGGAGGAAGGGAGCGGCAGCAGUGAAGGAUUUGACCCCCCUGCCACUGAUAGGCAGUUCUCUGGGGCCCGGAAUCAGCUGCGCCGCCCCCAGUAUCGCCCUCAGUACCGGCAGCGGCGGUUCCCGCCUUACCACGUGGGACAGACCUUUGACCGUCGCUCACGGGUCUUACCCCAUCCCAACAGAAUACAGGCUGGUGAGAUUGGAGAGAUGAAGGAUGGAGUCCCAGAGGGAGCACAACUUCAGGGACCGGUUCAUCGAAAUCCAACUUACCGCCCAAGGUACCGUAGCAGGGGACCUCCUCGCCCACGACCUGCCCCAGCAGUUGGAGAGGCUGAAGAUAAAGAAAAUCAGCAAGCCACCAGUGGUCCAAACCAGCCGUCUGUUCGCCGUGGAUACCGGCGUCCCUACAAUU